Long non-coding RNA from Amphiprion ocellaris (clown anemonefish), 625 nucleotides. The record is from Ensembl. Lineage: Eukaryota; Metazoa; Chordata; Actinopteri; Pomacentridae.
CUGUUCACAUCUGGGGGACUCAGGCGUAAACAAUCGAUCCUGGCCAAAAUCGAACCAACGCCCAGCCAAUCACGUGGCGCUCCUCCGGUCAUGUGACGCAGACGGUUCACCUCACAAGACCGGGGUCAACCACGGCUACCAGCAUGAACGACGGCGCUUCAAUGCACAAUGAGGGACGUCUGCAGCGACUGAGAAAGAGUCUCACCACAUCCUGACAUGAGGAAAAAGACUUUAUUGAAGACUACAAUGAGAAAAACUAUCAGACAGCAGACGGCUGCAUUCAAGUCUGUAGCUGCUGAAUUCAUGGAUGAAUCAUCUGGCACUAGAGAGGAAGACCAUCAAACGUCCACGUCAGCUGAUGGAGGCCCAAGAGUCUCACCAAACAAACAACCUACAGAGUGAAGACCUCCAAUCUUGAUUGGACAGCCUCCUAUUCAGCCACAUGUGUGAACAAAUGCCUCUAAGCUGAUUUGUUUUCUAAAAUAAAUCUAGUUUGACUCCUAAUCUAUGCCUGUGUGUUUGCAUCUUUACACCGCUGUUAACAGUUUAGGCUGUUAGAUUGUUCCAGAUAAGACAAGUACAAGAUUCUUCAGAGCCGUUCUACCAUGAGCCUGACAGGAAGAAC